UGAUGAACCUACUGCCUUCUGGCUGAA
Molecule: non-coding RNA, 27 nt
Filed under: Mus musculus (house mouse)
Lineage: Eukaryota; Metazoa; Chordata; Mammalia; Rodentia; Muridae
Source: RNAcentral